This 338-nucleotide unclassified non-coding RNA is filed under the name soil metagenome. RNAcentral describes it as "partial contains 5.8S ribosomal RNA, internal transcribed spacer 2, and large subunit ribosomal RNA". The stretch from base 1 to 120 matches the Rfam family "5.8S ribosomal RNA", at positions 35 to 154 of the family's 154-position model. The record is from RNAcentral.
GAUGAAGAACGUAGUGAAAUGCGAUAAGUAAUGUGAAUUGCAGAAUUCAGUGAAUCAUCGAAUCUUUGAACGCACAUUGCGCCCGGUAGUAUUCUGCCGGGCAUGCCUGUUCGAGCGUCAUUUCAACCAUCAAGCCCCAGCGCUUGUGUUGGGGGCCUGCGGCUGCCGCAGCCCCCCAAAAGCAGUGGCGGGCUCGCUAUCACACCGAGUGCAGUAGUUCAUCUUCUCUCCGGUCUUGUGAGGCGGGUUCCGGCCGUGAAACACCCCACUACAUUCAAGGUUGACCUCGGAUCAGGUAGGAAUACCCGCUGAACUUAAGCAUAUCAAUAAGCGGAGGA